Long non-coding RNA from Saccostrea cuccullata (small rock oyster), 253 nucleotides. RefSeq lists it as uncharacterized. NCBI's taxonomy places the organism in Eukaryota, Metazoa, Mollusca, Bivalvia, Ostreida, Ostreidae. The transcript is spliced from 4 exons. The record is from RefSeq and is a predicted model, not a curated record.
GUUUAAACCGAAAAUAAUAUUAUAUGACACUUAUGACCAAAGAUAUUAUUUCAUAAUUUUUUUAUUUCACAGCCAUCAUUUUUUUCUAAACAUUGCUGAAACAAAGAUUUAGGUAUGGGAAAGAGGAUAAGCAGACUAACUUCACGUAAAUUGGAAACAACGGAAUCUACUCCAAUUUUAAAGGAACAGUUUACAAAAAUAGAAGAUCAAGAUGAAGAUUUUGAGUCUUCAAAGGUUUCAUGUUUUCCAUGUC